UCCAACCCGGCCCGUCCGGCCCUCUGGCCCGGUUUAGCUCUCCGGGGCUUCUUGGGGCUUCCCGAAGUCUCGGCUCCCCUUUCUGCCGCCAGCUGCUCUCCUGACUCCAGGACGACCCAAGACUGUAACCCACCAGACUCCUCUGUCCAUGGGAUUUCCCAGGUGUCCUCAUGACUUCUCUUGCGGACCAUGUCCUUGAUCCUUUUUGCCUGCGUGGUAAGGGUGAGGGAUGGACUGCCCCUCUCGGCCUCCACUGAUUUCUACCACAGCCAAGACUUCCUGGAAUGCAGGAGACGCCUCAAGACUUUAGCCUUGCAACUGGCCCAGUAUCCAGGUCGAGGUUCCGCAGAAGGAUGUGACUUCAGCAUCCACUUCUCUUCUUCGAGGGACGUGGCCUGCAUGGCUAUCUGCUCCCUCCAGUGUCCAGCAGCCAUGGCCUUCUGCUUCCUGGAGACGCUGUGGUGGGAAUUCACAGCUUCCUAUGACACCACCUGCGUGGGCCUCGCCUCCAGGCCGUAUGCCUUUCUUGAAUUUGACAAUGUCAUUCAGAAAGUGAAGUGGCAUUUUAACUAUGUAAGUUCCACCCAGAUGGACAGCAGCUUCGGAAAAAUUCAGGAGGAACUCAAGUUCCAGCCGCCAGUGGUUCUCACCCUGGAAGACACAAAUGUGGCUAACGGGGUGAUGAAUGGACACACACUGAUGCACCUGGAGCCAGCUCCUAGUUUCCGAAUGGAACCAGUGACAGCCCUGGGCAUCCUCUCCCUUAUUCUCAACAUCAUGUGCGCUGCCCUGAACCUCAUUCGCGGAAUUCACCUCGCAGAACAUUCUUUACAGGUUGCACAUGAAGAAAUUGGAAAUAUUCUGGCUUUUCUGAUUCCUUUUGUAGCCUGCAUUUUCCAGUGUUAUCUGUACCUGUUCUAUAGUCCAGCCAGGACUAUGAAGGUGGUGCUAAUGCUGCUCUUCAUUUGCCUGGGCAACGUGUACCUGCAUGGGCUGAGGAACCUCUGGCAAAUCCUCUUUCACAUAGGAGUGGCUUUCCUGUCUUCGCAUCAGAUACUGACGAGGCAGCUUCAGGACAAGCAGUCCGACUGUGGAGUGUGAGGCUGAGGCCAUGGGAUGGACGGAUCCUUUGAUUUUCCUCUGAGGGUCAUCGGCGUUUCCCCUUUUACUUCUUGGCUUCACCUCAAGUUUCCAUCCUCGAAGUUCCUUUCAACCAAAGCAGACUGAUCCUGAGAACCAAGAUUUUUUUCACCGGUGCAGUGGGAAGCAUGAAGUUGCUGGACACCUGGUCUCAGUUUUGUGUGAGAGUUACUGCAGAAUCUCCAGUUCAGCACCUUGGACAGCAGAAUCUGGGCGCCCAGUCAGAAAGCGCAUUACUGGAAGACCAACAUGGAAUGAUUUUGGUCUUUUACGUUGAGUGAUGCAAUAAACCACUAGAUUCAGUAUCAGUAGUUUUAAGUAAUUGGCAGUUGUCUCCAAGGAACCGCUUAAACAUCUGUAUCAGCUUUUCAGUCUAAAUGUGACUUUGGACCAGCCCUGUCAGGAAACGGCCACCAGAGGGCACACCACCAGGUUCCCAGCCCAGGGACGGGUGCUGUUUCACAGGGUGAUUCCUUCAGCAGCUGAUAAAAUUCCCAGAAAGAAAACAAAUGUACCCAGCUUUCCUGACCAUGCUUUAACCAUGUUGAGGGACGCGUGCUCCAAGUUUCUCGUCACCGUCAGUCCUGAGUGAAGAUUUUCAGAGGAGGACAAAGACUUCGAAAAUAAGUAUCUGGAUUAUUGAGUUCUGGGAUUUGGGAGUUGACAGAACCUUUAGGUAGCAUCAGGUGCAACCCUAUUGCUGCUCAGAUGCAGGAGUUGAGGCCUGUCCUAGGUAGCCGGUGACAGUGUAGCCCAGAGCUCUGUCCUCUGGGCUGAGAACAAGGUGCAUUUGGAAUAAAAAGUGCCACAGAAAAUAAAAAGGGAUCUUGGCCCAUAAAGGGCACCCUUUCUGUGCCAGGAGGGCUAAGGGCUAGUUUAGGCUGAUGAACUGCCUGCCUUUUUCUGGGACUCUAACACUGACUUAAUGGACAUGAGUUUGGGUGGACUCUGAGAGUUGGUGAUGGACAAGGAGGCCUAGCGUGCUACGGUUCGUGGGGUUGCAAAGAGUCGGACAUGACUGAGCAACUGAACUGAACUGAAACCUCUGUGGGGCCAGGUAGCAGGGCUGCUGCCUGACAGCAUCCUUGGGCAGGACCAGCAGAGGAGUGAGGCUCAGGAAGGGGCCCACCUGAGUGCUCCUGGCUCUGCUGAAGCAGCUCUAAGACAUCCCCGGUUGAAUGUGAUGAAAAACUAUUAUGUUCAUUGAAGAACACCAGGGAGUGUUGUAUUUGACCUGGGAUGAAAGAGUGCUUCUUAAACAAAAAGCAUCACAAGCACAACCCUCAAGGUGAAAUGAUCAGUGAAUCUGAUGACAUGCAAAUAAUGAUUUCAUGCGUAGAGUUUAAAGAAUGAGAGAAAAUAUUUACAAUGUCUGAAAUCAGCAAGGGAUUAAUAUACAAGCAAGUCCUGAAAUCAUUAAGAAAGAUAAGGGACUUGAACAGAAAAAUUAGCAAUUUGCCUAAGAGAAAACCCAGGAAGCUAAUAAGCAUAUGAAGAUGCUUAAAAUCAUUAGAAAUACAGAGAAAUACCUAUUUAAACCAUUGUAAGGUAUCACCUUAUGCCUAUGACUUUGGCAAAACUCGGAAAGCUGGGUGGCAGCAAGUAUUGGAGCAAGUUGAGGGGAUAUGGGACUCCAUGUAUGGCCAGUCUGAAGAGCUGUGCUACUGGUAUGGGCUGGACUGUGUUUUCCUCAAAUUCAGUGUCAAAGUCCUAACCUCCAGUGCCUCAAAAUGUGGCUGUAUUUGAUGAUAUAGGGUCUUUUUAAAAACAUGGAUCAUUUUAAAAAUCUUUAUUGAAUUUGUUACAAUAUUGCUUCUGCUUUGUUUUGUUUUGUUUUUUGGUGGGGGGGAGAAUCUUAGCUCCCUCACCAGUGAUUGAACCCACACGCCCUGCAUUGGAAAGGGAAGCCUUAACUACUGGACCACCAGGGAAGUGAUAUGUCUUUACAAAGGUAAUUAAGGUUAAAAAAAAUAUAUCAUACGAAGAGGGCUCAAAUCCUUGAGAGUGGAGAUUAGGACACAGAGAUGUACAGAGGGGAGACCUCAGGAGAGCGCAGGGAGGAGGUGCUCGUCUGUAAGCCAAGAAGGAACCAGUCCUAUGGAUCACCUUGAUCUCCAACU
Molecule: RNA transcript, 3260 nt
Organism: Budorcas taxicolor (takin)
Lineage: Eukaryota; Metazoa; Chordata; Mammalia; Artiodactyla; Bovidae
Gene: SEC22C
Gene name: SEC22 homolog C, vesicle trafficking protein
Exons: 9
Source: RefSeq, a predicted model, not a curated record